RNAcentral lists this ribosomal RNA (607 nucleotides) under Zygaena purpuralis austronubigena. Its description in RNAcentral is "partial 12S ribosomal RNA". Lineage: Eukaryota; Metazoa; Arthropoda; Insecta; Lepidoptera; Zygaenidae. The record is from RNAcentral.
UGCGGUUAUACAAAAAUUAAAUUAAAUUUUUUUAGGAUUUAAUUAAUAAAAUUAAAAUUAAUAAUUUAAAUUUUAAAUUAUAAAGUGAAAUUUUAAAUUUAAUUAAAAUUUAUUUAUUUUUAUGAUAUUAAUAAAUUUUAUAAAAAACUAGGAUUAGAUACCCUAUUAUAAAAAUUUAAAUUUAAAUAAUCUUAAAAUAGUAUAUAAUUUUUUAUAGAAACUUAAAUAAUUUGGCGGUAUUUUAGUUCAUUUAGAGGAAUCUGUCUAAUAAUUGAUAAUCCACGAUUAAAUUUACUUAAUUUUUAAUUUUGUAUAUCGUUGUUAAAAAAAUAUUUUUAAAUGAUUUUAAUAUUUUAAAAUUUAUAUAAAAAAUUAAAUCAGAUCAAGAUGCAGAUUAUAAUUAAGAAUAUGAUGGAUUACAAUAAAUUUUAUUUUAUUUGGAUAUUAGUUUGAAAUAAAUUGAUUGAAAUUGGAUUUAAAUGUAAUUUUAUUUAUUUUAAUAAAAUGAUUAAAAAUUAAAAUAUGUACAUAUUGCCCGUCGCUUUCAUUAAUAAAUUGAAAUAAGUCGUAACAAAGUAGAGGUACUGGAAAGUGUUUCUAGAAAGAU